GGGUGGAUGGUGCGCAGGCAAGGGGGCAUGUGGAGGCGUAAUUCGCGCAGGGUGGUGUGUUGUUCGGCGUCGCGGAUCAUGUCGGUGUCCGUCCA
This 95-nucleotide transfer RNA is filed under the name Streptomyces griseofuscus. Its description in RNAcentral is "tRNA-Thr". The record is from RNAcentral. Lineage: Bacteria; Bacillati; Actinomycetota; Actinomycetes; Kitasatosporales; Streptomycetaceae.